GAGGAAGUUAAACCAACCCCCUCCCCCACCACCUUGAAGACAUUGAAAUGAAGAGACUGCUUCAUGUGAUCUUUCUCGUGACCAUUUUCUCAUGUCUGUCCCACGCUGUAACCGUAACUCAGAACAAAGCCUUUAUAUUGCUGCAUGAUGGAAGCAGUAUGGAAGAAAUGUCCUGUAUGCAUGAUGCAACCGAGAGCUACUAUAUGUACUGGUACCACCAGAAACCAGGAGAAGGCUUGGUGCUUAUUGCAAUGUCAGCAUUAGAGAAUGAUACCAGCUCAGAAAAAGAUUUUAAGGAAAAGUGGACGAUGACUCGGCCAAGUAAUGCAAAAUCUACACUAAAACGGAAUGGAACAGUGAACAUCUAUGACUCUGCUAUGUAUUACUGUGCAGCCAGCUACACAGCCAUAGGAAAGUCUGUCUCACGCUGUGACCGUGACUCAGAAUAAAGCCUUUACAUUGCUGACUGUUGGAGGCAGUAUGGAAGAAAUGUCCUGUACGCAUGAUGGCACCGGCAGCUACAAUAUGUACUGGUACCGGCAGAAAUCCGGAGAAGGCUUGGUGCUAAUUGCAAUGUCGGUGGCAAAUAAUGAUGCCAACUCAGAAAACGAUUUUAAGAAAACAUGGACAAUGACUCGGCCAAGUAAUGAGAAAUCUACUCUAAAAAGGAAUGGGGCAGUGAACAUCACAGACUCUGCCAUGUAUUACUGUGCAGCCAGUUUACACAGU
This is a non-coding RNA of Pelobates fuscus (common spadefoot toad), 729 nucleotides long. The record is from the annotation of a RefSeq genome assembly. NCBI's taxonomy places the organism in Eukaryota, Metazoa, Chordata, Amphibia, Anura, Pelobatidae.